UAUGUGAUCGUCUCUCGCAUAUCAAUAAGCGGAGGAAAAGAAACUAACAAGGAUUCCCCUAGUAACGGCGAGUGAAGCGGGAAGAGCUCAAAUUUGAAAUCUUAAAGGGUUUCCCUUUACGAAUUGUAGUUUAAAGAAGUGUUUUCUGUUGAGGUUUUGGUAAAAGUUCUUUGGAAUAGGACAUCAUAGAGGGUGAGAAUCCCGUAUUUGACCUUUACUUUCAACUUUGUGAUACACUUUCAAAGAGUCGGAUUGUUUGGGAAUGCAGUCCAAAAUGGGUGGUAAAUUUCAUCUAAAGCUAAAUAUUGGCGAGAGACCGAUAGCGAACAAGUACCGUGAGGGAAAGAUGAAAAGAACUUUGAAAAGAGAGUUAAACAGUACGUGAAAUUGUCAAAAGGGAAGCGUUUGACACCAGUGUUGUUUUUCUGAAAAUCAAUUAAAGAACUGUUUAUGCUAAGCUGUUUAGACUUUAUCAGCUAUCUGCUUUAGUUUUGAGCUUUUCUUUAAUGCACUUUUCAGUUAACAAGUCAACAUCAAUUUCUUUUGCUGUAAAAAAGCUUGAGGAAGGUGGCUUGAGAUUCGUCUUAAGUGUUUAUAGCCUCUUGCCUAUGCAGUCGGAGAGAUUGAGGUCUGCAGCGUAGAUCCUUCGGGGCUAAAUGCAUUUGUGCUAAGUUAUAGCAUUUUAUAGACAACUUGUUGACUAUGAUUUGUCUUGUAGCUUACUCGCUUAUGUUAUUUUACCUACGCUUAGGAUGUUGAACGCGCACAGAGUCUC
RNAcentral lists this ribosomal RNA (775 nucleotides) under uncultured Neocallimastigales. Its description in RNAcentral is "partial large subunit ribosomal RNA". It matches the Rfam family "Eukaryotic large subunit ribosomal RNA", at positions 24 to 641 of the family's 3401-position model. Lineage: Eukaryota; Fungi; Neocallimastigomycota; Neocallimastigomycetes; Neocallimastigales. The record is from RNAcentral.